Molecule: ribosomal RNA, 105 nt
Filed under: uncultured eukaryote
Lineage: Eukaryota
Description: partial small subunit ribosomal RNA
Source: RNAcentral
UGGCUGGUCUCGGCGUUUGGAUAGAUUGGUGAGGUUAGGCUAUGUGCAAAGUUUGUGGCGGAAAACAGGUGGAACGACCAGCCCCCAAUGGUGUGGUCUACUUGG